AAAUGGUGUGCUAUAUAAAAUAACAUUGAAGUAUUUUUUUAAAAUCAAAGAUCCAAUUCUUUUUUUUAAAUCGAAGUCAAUAGUCUUUUAUUUUAUAAUGGAUGAUUAUAGGUCAAACUUAUAAUAAUGUUUGGUAGUGCGAGAAGUAAUUGGGUUAAUUUUUAUGAAGAUGACGUUCGGGCUGAUUUCAGAACUAGAUUAACAUGUAGUGGGGUGAUUUGCAAUGUUUCUGAAUGAUUUUUCUUCUAAAAUAUAGGUUAAUCAGUUCUCAGGACUAAAACUUAGUCCAUUUUAAGUGGUUUGAAGAUUGCAUUGGAGAUUCCAUGUAUGAGAAAUGUGAUUAAAUUAAAUUUAAUAUAAAUAAUCUUGUAAAUGAUUAUUUUUUCAGAUUGAUGGGUUGUUCUCUAUCUUAUGUGAGUAUAAAAUUUUGUGAAUCUGAUAAAAUUUGAAUUUAUCUUUUAUUUUUAACUUUUGUUUUUUAUUUUUAAAUAUUUUAAUUUUUUUUUCCGGUAUGCUUUGGGAUUUGCCCCUUUUAUUCAAUAAAAAAUAUAUUUCAUAAAAUUAUUUAAAAAAUACAUACUUUUAUCUAAAUUUUGUUAAAUUGUGAUAUUUAUACUUAGUAUAUUAUAUUUAAAAUAUAGUUAUUUAAUAUUUGUCUAAAUUUGGAUGAAUUUAUGUCCCUGCAUAUCAUUAGCAAUUUCAUAGAAAUAUUUACAAUUUAGUAUAUUUUCAUAUAUCUGUUUGACUAUAGGGAUAUAAAUAUGUUAAAUUGAGCUACAUGAAACUACUUAAAUUUGGUAUAACUUAAAUUGUUGGUUAAAAAGGGCUAGGCAUAUGCUUUUAAUAAAACUUAUUUAAUUAAUUAUAUCAUACCCUAUAAUUGUAAUCAUCAUUUUUAAUACACGUCUAAAACAAAAGGUGCUAUUUUACCCGUGAAUAAUGUAUAAGCAUGAAUGUGCAGUUGUGCGAGACAAAUAUGAAAGUUUUAACUAUUUAUCCAUCACAGGUGUAUGAGCUUGGAUCGCGAGUCCAUUGGUGUUAUUAACAAAGGGAAAAAGUGUUUAUCCUUUUCUGUUGAUUCUAUUAGCAGAGUUUCACGUGAUUGACACUCUUCUUUGGCUCAUUGGUUGAGUGCUUCUCCUACUCACUGUUCUGAGACUUUCUCUUCGACUAAUAGAGGAUCUGGUCAAAAGAAUUUGAGGGUGAAAGGCUUUGAUAUUUCCCAAUCUCACUUCUACCCUCCUAGGUGCGAUGGAGGGAGAGGGGAGGGUAGGAAUCUGAAGAUUCUUUCUGGUUCUUCUUCUUAUGUGCGUAGGCAAGACCUUAAUUCGAAGGCGAAGACGAAUAAUUAUGGGAAUUUUGUAAGUGAUGAUAUUUUUGAUGCGUGUCUUGUGUAGGGUAACAAACAGUUAUAGGACAAAGCUCGGGAGGAAGUCGUGUCGAAAUUAUGGACUAAAGUCGCUGCAUACGGUGUGGGUUAUUCAGAGGAUAAUAUUGAUUUCAUUGGUGUUAUUAAGGAGAUGAAAUAUAGGUAUGAGGAAGCUAACAAUCAAAAGGAAGUUCAAACAAAGGGGUUCUCAUGAAGAUUCUCUCUUAUAACAUGAGAGGGUGCGGUUGAUCGACGAAGAGGAAGCGUUUGGGUUUUUUUAUCCAAAAAGAGAGGUUUGAUAUAUGUUUGAUUCAAGAAACUAAGAUGCAUGUUCUUUCUGAUUCUUUGGUGGCGGAGAUGUGGAAGGAUUCAGGGGUUCAAUGGUCUUAUACUUCUUCAUGUGACAGGUCUGAUGGUCUUUUAAUCACGUGGAAGGUUGGUUGUUGUGAGUUGAUUUCGAGUUUUCGUGGGGAUGGAUUCUUAGGAAACAAUGUAUUAAGGAACAAUAUUAAUUUGUAUCUCGUCAAUAUUUAUUCUUCUUGCUUUAUUCAUAAGAAGAGGUUGUUGUGGGAUAGUCUUGUCUCAUGAAAAUUAAGGUUUCCAAGGGGUGAAUGGUGUUCGGGUGGGGAUUUUAAUGUUUGUAAGAUGGAAUGGGAAAGGAAAGGUAGUGCCUUAUGUGUUAAUAGGUUGGAGAUGGACAAUUUUUUUGGAUUCAUAGGGAGUCUGGAUGUUGUCGAUCCUCCUUCUGUUGGCAGGAACUUCACUUGGUUUAGUUCAGACGGGAGAUUGAUGAGUCAGUUGGACUAAUUUUUGUUAACUGAUGGUUUGCUGGAGGAGUGAAAGGUUUGUGGUCAGGUUGUUGGUAACAAAGAUUUGCCUGAUCAUUUCCCGAUGUAGAUUAAAGGGGGUGAUAUGAAUUGGGGUCCUGAUUCAUUUAAGUUUUUUAAUGCGUGGAAUGAUCAUGGUGAUUUCUUGUCUUGCAUGGAGAGAUCCUGGACUUCGAAUAAGGUUAGAGGCAAGGUUGCCUUUGUUCUUAAGGAGAAGCUAAAAAUGUUGAAAGCUAACUUGAGAGUGUGGAAUAAGGAGGUUUUCAGUUAUCUUGAUUUGGUGGUGGAUGAGGCGAUUUUCGAUUUGAAUUCCUUGAUUUCUAGGCUACUGCAGAUGGGACGAUUGACCUCCAUGAGCUGGCUUCGAAGAGAGUUGUUGCCAUGCAGGAGGUGUGGAAGUAUGUCAGAGUGAAAGAAAGCUUUUUGCGUCAAAAUUCUAGAGUUGCGUGGUUGUCGGAAGGGGACUCCAACUCUAAGUUCUUUCACAAGGUUAUGAAACAUCGUUUUAAAAAGAAUUCUUUGUUGGGUGUCAUUUCUAAGGGUGUGUGGAUUGAUAAGGUAAAGCUUGUUAAAAAAGAGAUUUAAGACCAUUUCCAAAAUAGAUUUCGCAAAAAUUGCCCACUUAGACCUACCUUGGAUGGCAUUCCUUUUGUGUAGCUGUCCUCAGAGGAAAAUUCUAAGCUUGAGGAGCCGUUUUCGGAGGAAGAGAUUAAGGAUGUCGUGUGGAACUGUGAUGGUGAUAAAAGUCCGGGUCCGAAUGGUUUUGACCUUCUAUUCUUCAAAGCUUGUUGGUUAGUGGUGAAAGAGGAUGUGUGUGGUUUUGUUAAUGAUUUUCAUUUGAUGAGUGGUCUUCCUAAAGCGGUUACGACAUCGUUUUUGACUUUGAUUCUCAAAGUUGAUAAUUUGGGCUCUUUGGAUGACUAUAGACCUAUUUUUCUUAUUUGUAGUCUUUACAAAAUUCUUGCCAGGUUGCUCUCGAAUCGGUUGAGAUUGGUUGUCUGGAAGCUCAUCUCUUUAAUCCAAUCGGCUUUUAUGCCAAAUAGAAAUAUGUUGGAUGAGGUUCUUGUUAUCAAUGAAAUUUUGGAUCAUGCGAAUAAAUCUAAUAGAAUUUCUAUGUUGGUGAAAGUUGAUUUCGAGAAGGCACAUGAUUGUGUUUCUUGGGUUUUUUUAGGUAUAUGUUGGUGAGAAUGGGUUUUGGGGCUAGGUGGAGAAAAUGGAUGGAAGCCCUUAUAUUUAACAGUUCCGUUUCUAUUUUGGUGAAUGGGAGCCCGACCGAGGAUUUUGUGGUUUCUAGAGGUCUUCGUCAAGGGGAUCCUCUUUCCCCUUUUCUAUUCUUGUUAGCGGCAGAAGGGCUUUCGACUAUGAUGAGGAAAGUUGUUUUGGUGGGUGAUUUUGAUGGCUAUUGCUUCAACGAUAACGUUCACUUCGAUAUUCUUUAAUUCAUUGAUGAUACUAUGGUGGUUGGCGAAGGAUCUUGGAGGAAUCUUUUGAGCAUUAAAGAUAUUCUUGGAGGCGUCGAGUUAGUGUCGGGGUUGCAUAUUAACUUAUGAAAAAGUAAACUUGUAGGGAUUAAUUUGGAUCCAGAUUUUAUGCAAGCGACGACGUCGUUUCUUAUGUGUGACAUAUGGUCUCCUUAUUUCUCUUUUCUUGGUAUUCUCGUCGGCAUAAACACUAGGAGGAAAGAGGUUCCGACUUCAAUCUUGUCAAUGUUGUAAAGGAGGCUAUAUAAUUUGACCAAAGUUAGUUUGUCUAUUGGAGUUAUAGCGGUGCUCAUUAAUGUCGUCCUUUCGAACAUUGCGAUCUUUUACUUCUCUUUUUACAAAGCUUCGAAGGCGAUCAUCAAAGAUAUCAUUAAAAUUAAAAAAUCUUUUCUUUGGGAUGGUCUGGAAAACGAGAAGAAAAUUGAUUGGGUUAGGUGGGAUAUAAUUUUUUUCCCGAAGAAGGAUGAAGGCCUUGGUAUCAAACAUUGUGGCCGUUUCAACCUCGCACUUUUAUGCAAAUGUAAGUGAAGUAUUUUGGCUUUAUGACUUUAUAACUUUUUAUGGAAGUGGAGUACUUUAACAUGAUAGUUACUCAUAUUUUUGAGUAUUUUGAAUGACUUUAUAACUUUUAUGCAAAUGGAAGUAGAGUAUAUUCACUUAAACCUAAGAAUACUCUCGAAACACUAAUGGCAAAAUAUAUCAGAGAAAAUGAGAGAUUUAGAAAAAAAUGGCGAGAGAUUAAGAAAGUGAGAUCAAAGCUCAUUUCUAGAUGUAAUAAAAUGACAGACAAGCUCUCUAUUUAUAGGCUGGAUUCUGAUUUCAAUUUGGAAAAAAUCCAUGGAUGAAAUGAAUGCCAUCGAUUAGGCUAAUCAACUAUUGACCCAAAUAAAUGAUUGUUCAAGUCACAAAUGGGAAGUUUUGAUAUUUAGCUGCAACAAAUCAUUAAGAGAUUGACCUAGUUGAUUUUAGACUCAACCAAGUGAAAAUAAUCAAUUAGAUGAUCAGGGUUAAUCACUUAUCUAGUUGUAAAAAGUCCUACAAUUGAUUAGACAAUCUCUUAAUCAGUUUGCUAGGUCUUAAAAAAAUUCUCAAGUGGUUUUACUAAAAUAAAAGAGGCCUUUAAAAGGUUUUUAGUGUGUGUGUGUGUGAUUUUUCCAUAUUAUUUCCAAAAGUACCAUUAUGCCUUCACAAGACACUAGUCACUUAGACAUAUACGACCCGCCGAGUUUUCAUACUUCCUCUCUUUCGGAACUUUAAAGCCUCAAUUCUUGACAUCAUUAUCUUUAACUUUAACAUCACACAAGAAUCUUGAAUCUUAUAGUUUUAUGAGGCUUGAGACAAAUUCGCAUUGACCAUCACCAAAGAUUUAAGAGGACAAAAACUUCAGCGAACCUUGAAAAAUAAGUCUUCACUUAAAUGUCGUUUGACCAGAAUGUAGACUUUACAGAGAUGACUUGAUCUUCAAGAGCAUCUUCCAAAUGAUAACUUGAUAAAAACAUCUUGAGCAUCUUUGACCGCUUGAGUUGUCUUCAAGAGAUAAAGACUUCAUUAGAUAUCUUUGGAUAUCAGGUGUUAUUAUCACAAAUAACUUGAUCUUCAAGCAUUCUAGUCUCGAUCACCAUAAAUAUAAUUAUAACUAGUUGAUCAUUGCAUUAGAUUAUAUUCAAGCAUGAACUUGGCCAACAUAUAUGGAUUAACACAUCUUGAACUUCAAGCCCCAAUAACCAUCACACGGUCAACAACUUAUCAAGCACUAUCAGUUGAACAAGAACUUGUUAAGAACCAUCACUUGAACAAUAACUUGUCAAGCACCAUCACUUGAAUAAUAUAUCAUUGAGCAACAAGACUGAUGAAGACUUCUCUUAAGAGUGUUGUCAACAUAUAAACCAAUAUCCUUAAGCAACAAGACAGAUAAAGACUUCUCUUUAGAGCAUUGUCAACAUGAAAAUCAAAUCAACAUCUUGAUGUAGUCUUCAUACCUGCAAGCACAUGGAUCCACAAAAUCUUCUUCUGACGAGGAUUGAGACAAUUCUUCAAGAUAAAAAAAAAACUAUCAUCAGAUAAACCGCUUGAUAAGAGAUCUUCACUUACUUCACUGAACACCUUUUGACAAGGAGUGUUAUCCUCCACCUAGAUCUCCAAGCACCACAAACUUAAUCACCAUAAUUUAAUCAACACAACUUGAUUAACAAUCACAUUCAUUUGGCCACCACAUCAAAUGAUUUUUAUAUACUUUAGCUGCAACACAACUUGACUAUCUCAACAUACGUUAGUGUAGGAAGAGGAUUUAUACCCAUUUUAUUUGACAUAUUACACCUGUUUUGAUUGGGUGUAAACUCAUCGGAUGAGAUAUGUAUGAAAAAUUUACAUCCAUUUUAAAACGGGUGUAAAAAAGAGAGUAUAUUACACCUAAUUUUACCUAUAACGCAUGUAAAAUUUUAGUUAUUUACGUCAAAUUUCAAGCUAUUUACACCCGAUUUUAGAUAUAAUGAGCUUAAAAUGUCAGAUAUUUACCCUGAAUUUUAAGAAAUUUACGUCUAAUUUUCUAUAUAACGGGUGUAAAAUGUCAGAUAUUUACACAUGAUUUUAAGAAAUUUAAAUUUGAUUUUAUAUAUAAUUAGUGUAAAAUGAUAAAUAUUUACGCCAAAUUAUAAAGAAUUUACACUCGAUGUUUAAUAUAACGGAUAUCAAAUAUUAGAUAUGCAAUGUAUCUCACAUUCCAUCCAGUCAUGAACCUCUUUCAAUGUGAGGUAAAUACAAGAAGUGAACUCACAUUUCACUCAUGAUUUGAUAAAAUAAUAGAUUUAUGCAAUCUAAGAUUUAGAAUGCCUACCCUAAAUACAAUGUUAAUUUCAAGUGUGCAUCGUAGACAUAAGCAUAUAUAGCAAUAAUAGUUGACCAUACAUAAAAUCAUAUAUAGAUUAUCAAAUGGAAUUGAGUGAAGACAUACAAAAGAGCACAAAGUACAUAAGUUGGUUUGCAUAUAUACCUUUGACAUUUGUAUGCAUAAAAAUUCGUGUAUAUAUCUUUGACAUUCUAUGUAGAGUGUGAUGAACUAAGUAGAGAAUUUGUCUAAACUUUAAGAAAAAGAUUGAAAUAAUUGUGUCAUGUUUAACAGCUUCCUUAUUUUCUUCGCUUUAAAACAAAAUUAAAAGUUGCAUUGUCAGUUUGUUGUGAAUUGGAGAGUGACUUGCCAUCUCCAUGCUCCAUCUCCACUUUCACUUUCUGAUCUCUGUUUUAUUUAUAGAGAUAAGAGAAAAAUCAAAUUGAACAUAGAAAUUAUAGAAUAUUUCAUAUUAGAUUCAUCAUUCCUAACAAUAAUGAAUAUAUAAUAAAUAUAAAUUAACUAUAAAAUAAUUAUUAUUAAACAAAUUAUCAUGUGUUAAAUUAUAAUACUUUUUCUCAUGCUCUAUUGUUAUUGUCCACCAAAACUAUUUCUUGGUAUCAUAAUCAUAAUGAUUCACUUUAUUUUUAUAUGUUAAUAAACUACCUAAAUUGUUUUAUAUGUUAAUCAACUAUCUUAAUAAUUUAAAAAAAUAGUAUAAAUAAUAACAUGGAGUUUACCUUUAUCAUAGAAGCUAAAUAUAUCUCCAUGGAGAAGCAUAUUAAACCUUGUGGCAUGUGCGUGAAAAAAUAUUAAAAUUGGUUAAUAUAUGGUUAAGAAUAUUGAUAGAGGCACCUAUAAUCUUUUCAAUGGAGGAAAUAAAGAUGAACUAGUUUUAUGCUUCAAUACUUCACCACACGGCUAUUUUGCUACGUUAUAUUAUAUUUUCUUGUUUAUCUGAUUCUUUAUCAUUGCCUCAUAACACGCCAAUGCAGUUUGAACGGCAAAUGCCCAAUAGUCCAUUUCCUCAAAUGCAAUUACAGAUCCACGAUAGUUUACUAGUUUAUUUUAAAGUAUUUUAUAGUUUUUUUUAAGUAGAUUAUAAAGAGUAUAAUAGGUGCUCUUGUUUGUUAACUUUUUAUAUAUUUGUUACUUGUGUAGACAUGGCUUAUGAUGACUCGUGUCAUGAAAGUCCUAAAAUAACACUUUAAUCCCAAUUGAAAGUGAAAAGCUAGAAGCAAUCAAAGUCACAAAGAGUAUACAUACAUAUUUUUAGGGCUUGUGUGGCAUAAUUAUACAUAAUGGUGCAUUUGAUUUAAAUAAUAAAUGGAUAAGAAUAAGACAACUAGAGGACAAAAACUCUACAUAAAAGUACACCCACUACAACACCAUGCAUGUAUACCCACUCUAAAGGACGAAUCCAAAACACCACUACUUAAGCACUUGAGUCACUAGCAUGUCACAAGACACUUUGUCUCUCACAUAUUGCAUGUACCUAGGUCAACAAUGGUACGAAAAUGAAGAUUUAGAAGGAAAUUUGUUGAUUCCUUUGAACAAAAAUUCUCAAAUAUCGAAAAUCUCAUGAUCCAAGACAACACAAAAUCCUAUAAGAAAGUGAUUAUAAAAGGAUCUCUUUAAGGAAAUGUAAAGGGGUUCAACAAUUGAGAGAAAGAAACACUUAGUGAAAAUCAGUGAAGACAAAGAAACAAUUGAGAGUGAAGAGAGUGAGCUGGACAAUGUGGAUAGUUUCUUCUUCUCAUCAUCUCAAGUGUAUGCUACCAGUAUCUAGCAUGAUAAAGAUCAUAUCUUGUUGAUUAAAGAUUGCAAUAAGACGAAGAAGUUACUCUUAUGUUUUCAUUUAUUUUUCAUUAUGUGUUUAAUAACUUCUCGACAAGUGUACCGAUGAUGUCGCAAUAAUAAAAAUAUCGAAUCCACAAGGAUUAUCUUCUAACAAGACAAAAUGUGUGCAAUGUAUAAAAACUAGUAAAACAUGGGGAUUUUUGAGUUGUAAUACACAAAGUAAAUAAGAUAUUAAACAAAAUUACUAAAGCGAGAAGGUUGUGUUUAGAAUCCCCUAUUUCUCUAUUGUUGAUAGAAUCCCCUAUUUCUCAAUUUUGAUGCCUUGUAAUAAUGAUCUUAUCACUAUAACCCAACGACGAAUUAACAAAGUCGUUAUAACCGAUCCCUCACAAAAUAACUCAUUAACCACUACUCAUAGAUUUCUAUCCCUAGUCCGCCAGCGUAAGCAGGGUUAGGCAAUGCUCAAAAUGUUAAUUUCAUAUGCCACUACUCGGGGUCUCCUAUUCUUAUUCAACUAGCAUAAGUACAACAAUUUCCCUAGGUCCAAUACAUAGGCUAAGGGUCAGUAUUCCCUAUGUGCCCAAAAUCAAUUUAAAGGAGUAUUUCACAUAAAAAGCAUUAAGAACAAUACGCAAUUGAAUGAAAUUAUAGAUCAAAAGGUUCAUACAAAGUCAAAUCAACAUAUUACCCAACAAUAUUGAAAUAAUUUCAUCAUAAUACAAUAUUGAAAUAAUUUCACCUUCUAUGUCUUUGGAAACAUCUUUUUAUUUGUUUGCAUCUUUUCCUUUUGCAUUGUUACUUGUCUCAGAUUACUUCUUGUUCUAAUCUUGGGAUGGGAAACCAAUUAGCUAUCAUCAUUGGAGGACAAGUUGAUUUUGAAGAGAUAAUGGCCCAUGGCCUUGAUCUUCAAAGCAUUGUCUCCCAUAAUGGUUGGGAUAAUUUUAUUGGCAUGCUUUAUGGUCAUUGUUAUCCUAACUUGGUCAAGGAUUUUCGGGUAAAUGCUUAUAUCCAAGAUCUGCAUCUAGAAUAUGUCAUUCUUUCUAAAGUAUAUGGUGUUCCUAUCACCAUUACCCUCACAUAUAUUGCCAAUUCAAUAAAUUGUGAGGAAGAAGGAGUAGUCAUGGAUAUACUUUUCUGGGAUUCUUAUUUACCCUAUCAUCUAAUCUUUGAAAAUAUCUUCGACCUAUCCAAAGUCUCAAAUCUCAAUUCCAAGGCAUUAGUUUGGUAUCACCUGUUGAUUUAAAACUUCUUGCCAAAGAACAAGGAUCUUACUUCUUUGGUUAUUGAUGGAAAAUUUUUGUUGUUGUUUCUCAACUUAGAUCUGAAGAUUAACCUCCCUCAAGUUAUGUUUGAAUACUUGAAAAUUACUCUCACUUCCUUUAAAGAGGGAAAGUCAAGUUUCACUCCUUAGGGAAGGGUUCUUUUUUAACUCUUCAUUAAACAAGGAGAUGAGAUAACUAUGGCUGAGGUUAAAACACAAGUAUGGGAAUAUAAGUUGAAGCUUAUAAAAGCUUUGAAAGCUGAUGACCCCUUUAGGGUCAAAGUGGUCUUUGUGGGUGGAUCUUCUUCUUAGUUGUUUUAUGUUUUAUUAUCUUGUUUCACGUCUUAUAUAUGUAAUUCAUUUGUUCAUUUUAAUAAAAGGUUUCUAUUAUCGUGCUUUGCUUAUCUUACUGAUUGAUUCAUGAGCAUAAACCAUAAUUGAAGAAUUUAAGAGGCAGUUUAUGACUACUAAAAAGAAAGGAAAACUUUAUUUAUCAGGGAUAUUACAAGAUAUGAUCCUAAACAUUAUUGCAUAGGUUUUCAGCCCUGACCUUCUGAUCCCUUUCAAGUCUUCAGAAAGAUCUUGUAAUCUUAAUCCCUCUGAGAGUCUCAAUAAGUUUUCCAAUUUGCAUCCCACUACUCUUUGUCUGCUGGAACCUUGCUCUUCUCGAGAACUUCAGCAGAUUCUCAUUCAUCUUGUGCUUGUGCGCUCUUCAUUUUUUCUUCGAUCUUUUUGUUCUUCUUCUUUUCCUCUGUGGCCUCUUUUCUCAUCAUAUUACGAUAAUCCUUGUCAAAAUCUCGCUUAUCUGCUUUGAAAGUUCUUUUCUUACCAAUUCUUGUGAUUAUUUUUAGUUGUGUGUUUUAUUGUUGUGCUCUACAUCUGCUUUUAUAGAGUUUGGAUAGAAUCUCCUUUAUCUUGAAGACUGUUUUCUUUGAGUCUUAUGCAUAUGAACUUAAUGGUUCUUGGAAUCUAUGUAUUCAGAAUCUAUCUUUGACCAUCUUGAAAAUUAUGGUUCGUAUGCUUAUUUAUCAUUAGUAUCUGCAUUUAAACUGUUUUUAUUUUUCUCAAUUUUAUUGUUAUUGUCUUUAUUUUCUAAUGUUUUUGAUAAUGACAAAGGGGGAGAAAAUGCAUAAAGUAUUUUAGAAGAGAUAAAAGCAUCAGAACCUGAACAAAGCAACUUCUGCCAAAAUAACUAUUGAUUUAUAAGCCUUAUGUUAUUUAUAUUUUUAAGUAAUUAUCUUUUUGAGCUUAAAAGACUAAUUUUAAUUAAACAAAGACAAAAAUUUAAGGAAAAGCCUACAAACCUUACCUUAAUGAAUUGUCUGUCUAAAGGAAGAACUUACAAACCUCAACUUAAGACCUGUCAAACUCAGAGGGAGCUUACAAACCCCAGACCCUGAUGUUAGAAUUUGUUGAUUAAAAUUACAAGAUUAAAUUAACACAGACAAUGAGUUAAUAAGAGAUUACGAACCUCAACUUAAUGGACUAUCAGACUUAGAAGGAGCUUACAAACCUCACCUUAAUAGACUGUCUAACUUCGGGGGAGCUUACAAACUUCAACCUCUGAUGUUAGACUGUGUUAAUUGUCUUAAAUACAUUUGUUUGUCAUCAUAAGAAAAAGGGGAGAUUAUUAGAACAAGAUUUAUUCACUCCCUUAAAAGAUUUUGAUGAUAACAAAGUAUUUAAAGAACAACAGGGUUUACAAAUGGUUGUUCUAGUGUGUAGGAUCAAAAGACAUUACCUUGAUAUAAAUCAAGAUAAUCACUUAGAAUAACCAUUAAAGGGGAGUAAAACUGGUAUGUAUUUGAAGGAUCAUAACCAAGAUUUUAGACUUUGAGGAGUUUACUCAAGUUUUUAUGAUGUUGAACCUAAGCAGACUCUAUUUUAAAGGAAUGACUCUUCAUCUUCUAAACAAGCUUCAUAGGAAAUUCUAAAGAUAAUACUUCAAAGGAAUUUGUCUACAUCAAGUCAUAAAAUCUUAAAGUGUUCAUUCAGACUAGUUCUGAUCAAGACUUUGAUGAAGACAAGCUCAAAACCUGUGAACUAUAAACUCUGAAGUCUCACUCUAACCAAGCUCUGAAGACAUACUUUAGCUUUUGAUCAUGCUUUAACUAAUUCUAUAAAAAGCCAUUGAUUUAGGAAGCUAAGUAUAAAGAUAACAAUGACUUAGAUCAAGCUUUAACAAACAUAUACAAGAAGUCUCCAGUCAGAAGUUAUCUAAAAAAGAUCAUGUGAUAAUAGUACACUGAUUUAUGUCAAAUUAAGAUAAAGUAAUGUUGUCAGGAUGUGAUCUCUUCAACCAUUAUGAACUCUUCCCCGCACCUCUCAACUUCUUUAUGUUAGCUGAGUUUUUAGCUCACUCCACUAUACAUUCGCUAAAGACCUUCAAUGACUACUUGUACCUUUAGUAGUUUCAAUCUCCAACAGUUCCAUUCUCAAUAUCUAUUUAAGAAUAAGAUUGAAAACAUUUAGAGUUGCUCAAGAGAUCUCAAGAAGAUCUCUUAAAGAAAAUGAAUGCGAGUUGAAGAAUACAUGACUAUAUUCACCAAGAUGUGAUACCCGUUCACAUUAUGGGUUGAGAGAGAGAGAGAGAGAGAGAGAGAGAGAGAGAGAGAGAGAGAGAGAGAGACCGUGUUUGUAUAGAAAACCCAAAUAAUAGAAACACACACUAAAUAGAAAAUAAAACCACAAGGGUUAAGUGCGUGAUAACAUAGUGAAAAUGAAAGAGAGAGAGAGAGAGAGAGAGAGAGACCGUGUUUGUAUAGAAAACCCAAAUAAUAGAAACACACACUAAAUAGAAAAUAAAACCACAAGGGUUAAGUGCGUGAUAACAUAGUGAAAAUGAUCAAGAAGAUCAUCAUAACAUAAAGACACAACAGAGAAGGAAGAUUAUGCUUAAAGAGAAGGAAGAUUAUGCUAAGAUCGAAAGUCGUCCGACACUUUAGAUAAAGGUUGAUUAGUUUUUAAUUGGUAAAAACAGCGAAAGUGCUUUAUUAAUUAAUUAGGAAAUUUUAAUAUUAUUAGAAGGAGAUUGUAAAACUAUUUUUGGAAGCAUUUAUAGAUUUAGGAUCCGGUUAUCCGAGCGAAAGCCCGAAACCCUUUUAAGUCAAACUUUCAAAUCAAAAUCACUUUUUAGUUGAGCUAAGAGUUUAUUUCCUUAAAAAAUGAGUUUACUACUUUAACGCGGUAAGCGUCGGCCAUAUGUAACAAAUGGAAGGCAUAAAUUAGAGAGUAAAACUCGGUUCCGAUUACGCUAACGCGACGGUUCCUGUUUAAUUAACUUUUAUUUCGAGAAGAAAAUAUUUCCUUGUAAGUGUUACUACUAGACAAUAUGAGUAUUGUUAGAUCGAAGUGAAUCACAUUCCAGUAUUGUUUCUCUGAAUUCAAUCUUUAUUUUUAUUUUUUUAUACGCAUUACACUCUGUUUAAAUUAGCCUUAAAUAUACAACAUAACGAUAGUUAUCGAUAGAUUGACAUUGGUCUUUGUGGGAUCAAUAAUCUUUUAUAUUACUUAGACAUACUCCGUAUACUCGUGGAUAACACCCAUCACCACCCAUCCACCAUAUACCGUUAUCGUCUUUUAGUUUAUGAGUAUGGUUAGUUUUCUUCCUUUAUGUCACUUUAUCAUGGAAGAACCGUGUGUUCUUAUCCCCUGAUUUAAGCCACACUGCUCUGCUAUGUUAUCUCUAGAUAACUUCCUUAGUUUUGAGAAGUUUCUCUCGUUAGUUUUUCAUAGAUUUGUAAGACCUAAUCCCUUCACCACUAUGUCCAGCUACCUUUAUCCUUCAUCUUUUAUUCGAUUAUAUUGAUCUCUUUCCUUAUAACCCCAAAUUUUUUCUCCCCCGCCUCUCAUAUUGUUCCAACAUUGUUUCACGAUAUUUCCGCACCUUUCGUCCCUUGUCCAUGCUUUUCAAAACGAAACAGGUGUCUAGGUCUUCUAUUGAUUCUUUCCUGAUUGGAUUCCAUAUCAAUUCUUACUGUCGCAUGGUCAAAACCAUACCUUGGGAGAUAGAGAAUUCUGAUUGGAGAAAAUCUAUUUAUGAAAGUUGAAAUUGCCAAAGCCAUGUCUAACCCGCACUAAAUGUUAGCCUCCUCUGAUAUGUCGUGGGUCCAUGUGUACGAGUAGCCCUUAAAUCCCAAAUCCUGCAAGCCGCAUGAAUCUAAAGUUUGUUUGCCCCAACAAUAUUGACUGAAAGAUUCAUUGUUUCCUCCAUGUUUCUUUUUCUCAUACAAAAUACCAUUUAAAUCCCCGAAGCAUAUCCAUUUGUCCCCUACCUCCUUCUCAAUAUUUUUCAUAAGCAUCCAUGUUUUCCUCUUGCUAUGUUCUACAAAUCCUUAGGAUUUAUCAUCUUUCUUAUCAGUAAUAGUUCGACUUAUAUGAUUCAAGGAAAAGGAAUAAAGAUUCACAUGCACCUCUUUAUUCCAUAUGAGCACUAAAACUUUGCUCUAUCUUUGACUGAUCCUCUACGUUCAAUUAUAUGACAAUAGUAAAAUGCACAUCUGACCCUUAUUCUAUGGACCUCAUGAGCUUUUAGCCUAGUUUCCAUUAAGAAAACCAUGUUGGGGUUUUCCUGUCGAAUGAGAAUUUGCAAGACUCGAACUGCACGGGGAUUCCCCACCCCCAUACAGUUCCAACUCAAGAUUUUUCAUUAGGGAAGGCAGUGUUAUGCUUCAAAUACCACCUCUGAUCUUUGAUUUAUAUCUACCUCACCUACAUCAAUCUGCCUCCUCUUCUUGUUCCUUUGCACAAACUCUUAAAUUGACCCAUCAAUAAUAAAAACCUCUAUAAGUUAACAUUUUCCAUUCUAUGUAUCAUUAAUACAAGGGCAAGGCCGACCCUAUGGGUGUGCAGGAUGAGCCAUCGCACAGGGCCUCAAAUAUUCGAGGGUCUCGAUAAGAAAACCGAGUUCAAUUAAUUUAUAUAUAAUUUAGUUGUAAUAUAUACGUAUUUGUAGAUUGGUUAACUGGUUUACAUAGUAGUUCAACAGAUAGGUCCACAUUUUGUAAUGUAAGGGUCCUCGUUUGAAUCUAAAAAUUUGUUUUUAUGAUUUUAAUUGUUUUAUUCACAAAAAAUGUCUUUACGAUGACUCAAACACACAAUCAUUUCCAUAAAAAGUCAUACUCUACCACUACACCAAGAAACAAUUAUUGUUCAAAUGUUAAAUAGCGCAAUAUUUAUUUAUUAAUGACUAUUUUUUUUAUAAAAAAGUUUUAUUAUUUAUUAGAGGCCUUAUUUUUAAAAUAAGAGUAAGGCCAUUACAAUGUUUUGGCCGACCCUGUACAAGGGGGGGUCUUUGUUGGGCCUCUUUUUUGUUUUCUUUCUAUUACCUUUAUUCCUCUCAGAGUUGUUUCCAAUUUGUGUGUGAGUUCCUAUUUUUGUAUCCUCCGAUAUUGCCGCCACCCAUAGUGAUUCUACCACCAUUUCGAUUUAUAGAUUCUCCCCAUUGUAUCCCACGAUUUGUUGGCCUUUCUUCUCUUUGCUUAUUGUUUUAAUCCUUAUCUCUCGUAUUACCUCAAUAUCUCCUUCAUUUUUCUUGUCUUUUUGGUUGCAUUUGCUUUGACUAGAAGACACUUGGAAAAGACUCUUGUAACAUGUAUUUGAACUUACCUCAUUUGACCUUUACUCUUCAAAGACUUUUGGUAUAGGUGAAGCUUUUAGCCACUGACCAUAAGAUAACCUAUACUCAUCAAUAUCUUCGUAACCUUCUUCACUUAAAUCUCUCCACACUUCACAAUCUUUUAUCUGAUGACCAAUUCUGCCACACACAAAGCAAAAGAUGGAUAAUCUCUCGUAUUUGAAGAAGACUCUAUAAGUUUUGUCUUUGAACCUAACAACCGUUCCUUUUUUAUAGGAUUGUUAAGACCCAACGUAACCUUGAUUCUUAGAAAUCUUCCAUUUCUUUGGCCCUCUUUCAUAUCUAUUACAUAAAAAUCGCCUAAGAUCUUUUCGAUUUUCUUUGCCAUCAUCUUCAAUCUCAUCAUUAAUGGAAGAUCGUAGAUUCUGACCCAGAAAACCCCAUAAUGCAUGUUCAGUUUCGAGGGUAGUUCUUCGCCUAAAACCCUAUCCAACACAAGAAGGUGUAUGUGAAAGUUCCAAGGCAUGUUCUGAAGUACCAAUUCCAUAUUUAUCUUCAAAACAAAAGGAAAGAGAAAUAGGUUGUUGUUCAACUCAUGGGUCUCUAUCAGGUUUUUAAGCCUCCGUAGCUUUUAAAGAUAAAUCAAUAACAAACCACUAGAAGCGUGACAUAGAAACUAGGAAGAUCUGGAAGGAGCCGCCACAAACUUUAGGGUAAGGAGGAAAAUUCACAAUAAAUUUAGAGAAAAAAAGUUUGCCUUCUCUUUAGAAAUACGUGAAACAUAUUAACCUAUGUUGAUGUUAUUAUAACAAGUCGUUCAUAUGGAUUCAUUGAUAGACAUACGGCAUCCUGAUUUGGUGAGCCACCAUAAUGAUUUUUUUUUGUUCCUUUAAAAAAAGGGAGACUUUUGAGAAAAAUAAAAAGGUUUAUAAUGGUAAUAGUAGGGUGUUAAUUUUAAUUUGUACAACAAAAAAAAGUACAUUGGGCCAUACAAAACUUAGACAAAAAAGUAACUAAGCCCGUAAGCAAAGCCCAAAAGAAACCCUAAAAACCAUCCUUUAAUUGGAAUUCAGAACUCUGAAGGGUUCUGCUCUCUACCUCUCUCUCUUCACAUCCAGCCGCUGUUCGAGGUGCGGCCAGUCACUCAUUCAGAAUGGUACGUUUUUCAUCCCCUCUCUCCGUUCACCGUUUCUUUUCCGACGAUUUUACGCUUCUCGUUCACCAUUAACUAACAACACGUUCUUCAAUUUUAUUUUCAUGGAUUCAGGUUUUUGUCAAGUCUCAGAAAUCAAAGGCUUACUUCAAGAGGUUUCAAGUCAAGUUCAAGAGAAGAAGAGGUUCGUGUCAUUUCAAUUUCUCUCUGUAUCAUUCAUUUCCUCGUUAAUUUUCGUAGUUAACAUCGUUAAUCCCUAAUUAAUCAAUCUGCAGAGGGUAAGACUGAUUACAGAGCCAGGAUUCGUUUGAUUAAUCAGGACAAGAACAAAUACAAUACUCCCAAGUAUCGUUUUGUUGUUCGAUUUGUAUCCUUUUUCAUGAUUUAGUUGUUAAUUAUUGGCUUAAUGUUCUUACUAGUUAGUAUUUAAUUCAGUUAUGAUUUUCAGAUCUUUUUAGUGUAAAACCCUAACCAUAGUAUUAGACAAACAAAGACAUUGUUGCUCAAAUUGUCUCUGCUAGCAUUGCUGGUGAUAUAGUUCUUGCUGCCGCUUAUGCGCAUGAACUUCCUCACUAUGGGCUUGAAGUAGGUCUUACCAACUAUGCUGCAGGUAUGAAUUUCUGAUGUAUGUCUACCUGUUUGUUGCAGUCUAAUUUUUAGUUGUCGAAGUUAUAUAAUUAAGUUAUUAUUUUUUUAAAUGUGACCAGCCUAUUGCACCGGUCUCCUAUUGGCUCGCCGUGUUCUUAAAACUCUUGAAAUGGAUGAGGAGUAUGAGGGCAAUGUAGAGGUAUCGUUUAUUUUUCAUCUGCUUAAGUUAUUGAAUUGAAGUAUGGUUUUUGAUUGAAGUUUCUGUUCACCGUGUAAUUGAUGUGCGAUAGGGCUAUCAAAGAAGAUUAUUCGGUUGUAUUCAUUUUUUAUGAAUAAUUGUUUAUGAUGAUUCAUGCUUGUUUGUUUUGUUGUAUCAUAUUCAGGCUAGUGGAGAAGAUUAUUCAGUUGAACCAGCUGAUUCCAGGAGGCCUUUCCGUGCUCUUCUUGAUGUUGGUUUGGUUAAGACCACAACCGGUAACCGUGUGUUUGGUGCACUCAAGGUAUAUAUGAUCUUAUCUUGAAGAAAAAGAUUUAAGUAUUUUUGACAUUGAUGGAAUUUAAUAGAUGGAUUGUGAUUGUUAUUGUCUGCAGGGAGCUUUGGAUGGAGGUUUGGAUAUUCCUCACAGUGACAAAAGGUUUGCUGGUUUUGACAAGGAGAAGAAGGAGCUUGAUGCUGAGGUUCACAGGAAGUAUAUCUUUGGUGGACAUGUUACUGCCUAUAUGAAGGUAUAUUAUAAUAGAUAGUGUUCUUGAUCCGUUUUAAGUUGAAUUUGUAAGUAAUUCAUGAUAUGAUGUUUUGGUGACUCUUUUGAUCAACUUUGUAAUAUUCUUUGUAGACAUUGAUUGAAGACGAGCCAGAAAAAUAUCAAACUCACUUCAGUCAAUAUAUCAAGAAAGGGAUAGAAGCUGAUGGAAUUGAGGAACUUUACAAGAAGGUUCAUGCUGCAAUUCGUGCAGACCCCUCAAUCAAAAAGGCCGAGAAGCAGCCACCAAAGGAACACAAGAGGUAUAUAAUUUUGAUGUUUGUGACUAUUCUAUUGAUGCUAAGCAAAGUCACUGACCUUUCUGAAUUAGUAGGAUAUCGGACAUUUUUUCAUGAUUAUAUGACAAAUCUGUUGAAUGAAAAUUGUACUGAAUUUAUGGAUUUUCUUUUGUUCAGGUACAACCUGAAGAAGCUCACUUAUGAUGAAAGAAGGACAAAGUUGAUUGCUCGCUUGGAGGCACUAAAUUCUGCAGUGGAUGAAGACGAAGACGACGAUGAGUGAAAUUAAGUUGAGACCGGAGUCUAUUGUUAGCUUGAAUUUUCAUUUUCAUUUCCUUAAAAUUUUUGUUGCUUGUACCUUUAAUUUUAGAUCAACAUUUUUGGGUAAUUUGGAUUAUCCUAGUUUGAGUUGUUUCAAUUUACAUGAAUUGUUUCUGAAAGUAAUUUCUUGCAGUUGAAUCAACUUAAGUUAUCACUACUUAUGUUAUCAUCAUACUUUGUUAGAGCUGAAAAAUUAUAUUAACUUAUAGUCCUACAAAAAGAAGUGGUCUGAAUGAUCAAUUUUGGGUUUUUUUGUUUCAUCAAAUUUGUAUUUCAAUGAUUAGUAUGUUUGCUCACACUUUUAUUUAAUUAAAUGAUAAAAGACAGGGAUUUUAGUAUGUUUUCAAUAUUUUUUACUACACAAUAUAUAUUAUUAUUAGAGUAUAUAAUAUUAAAAUAUCCUCGGAUGCAUUUCAAGCACCUUUAAUCCGGUGAUAAAUCUGUAGAUGCAUUAUGAAUCAGAAGUAGACAAUUAAAAAGUCUUAAUUUGAAAAAAUAAAUGGCAAGUUUGUUUUGGCAUUUUUUAAAAAUAGUUUUUAUGUAAAAAAACAAUUCUAAGAAAAUUUUCGUAAAAAUUUUAAAUAUAAAUUUUGAUUUGAAAAGUUAUUUUUAAGAUGUUAUUUUAAGUAUUUUAUUGUAUUAUUUAAAUUUUUUUAAAGCUAUUUUUUUAAAUUUUUUAUAAAAAUCAUUUUUUUAAUAUAGUUUUUUAAAAAGAUUGUGAUUUUAACUAGUUUGAUUUAUAAUACGUUGAAGUUAUAAAAUAUCAAAAUUAAUCUUUUAAUUUAUAAAUAAUAAAUUUAGAAAAAUUAUAAUAUUUUGAAAUAUAUUUUUACAAAAUCGAUUUAACAAUGUCAAAAUUAGUCUUUUAAUUUUAAAAAAUAUAUUUUAAAAAAUUGUAAUAUUUAAAAAAUAUAUUUGUAGAAUCUAUAUUAAAAAAUAUAAAAAAAUUCUAUUUUUUUAAAAGCAAAACAAACUGAUUCAAAAUUAUCAUUCAUGAAAUUAAGUCGGCAUUAGAUAAAUGAUGUCAACAUAAAAUAAAAUAUUACAUUUAGUAUUUAGGUGGAUUUUAAUAUUUUCAUAAUAUUUUUAAUCGAUUUUGAAAUUAUUGCUUUCAAUUUGAUCGAAGUUUUUAUUUUAAAAUAAAAAAAUGUAUUUCAUAUAAUCGUUAUCUAUGUAUCUCUUCUUUGCAUUUGUAGUAGUUAAUUUUUUUAGUAUGUUUACAUGUUCUCUAUAAUGCGAUAGUCUUUUGCAAGAAGUCUAUAUAAAGAGUUGAGCAUAUGUGGCGUGAGAUUUAAAUUAAACUCAUUUCUAUUUGGUGUGGUUAGAAUGUGAGAUUGAAAGAAGCAUAAGAGUACUUUUACUUGAUAUACGUUACACUUUUCGGUUACUAAUUAUAUUUGACUCACAUUGAUGUUAAUGUUUAUUAAGCUAAUUUUUUGUCAAGGAAGUUGUGAGCUAUUGUGGAUGAAUCAUGUGCUGGAAGGUUUGAAAAAUAAAGCACGAACCCUAUGCAUAACCACAACAUUCAUUUCUUCUAAGUAUCAAUUUGGACAUGCGUUACCAAACAUGUUUUUGUUUUUUUCCCAUCAUCUCUGUUAUGCUUGUUGCUAUGGUUUGAUGGAAUAGUUUGUUUCGGUUACUAUUCUUUCUGUUCUUUUUUAAGUGUUAAUUUUUUAAAUAAUUUUUUAAUUUAUUUUUAAUUAUUAUUUACAAAUUAUUUAUAAAUAAUUAUUAUCAAAAAAGAAAAAGUAAAAUAACGAGGAACGGAGUGAGGAGGAAGUAUGUUGUUAAGAGUGCUCCCUAGUCUUGGAACAUGCUGUAUUUGGCAGGUUUCAUUGGCCAGUGAGAAUUGAGAUUUGAUUUGUAUUUAGAGUUGGAGUGUGUUGUUUUUAGAAUUUGUAAUGUAUCUCUUGUUUUCCUAGCAUAUCUUGUGCCGGAAGUUUUACCUUUAAUAUAAUAUCUUUUGCUUCUUAAAAAAAAACAGAAUAUAUUUAAAAUGAUUCAACUAAUUUACUUGUAAAUUUGAAAGGAUAAAUAUUAAUUCACCACAGAGGAAUAGUAUAUUAUUUCCUUAAUUUCAUUUGAUAGAAUAAUAUGUUUUUUUAAAGAGUAGCAUAUAGUAGUCUAUUGACUAAAAUUUUAAUAUUUAAAAAUAAAUAAAUGAGAUGUCACGAAUUUAAAUUCACUCCUAAAAUAAAAUAUCUUUAUUCGACUAUUAAAUUAAAGGUACUAUACAGCAAUAUGCUUUCGUUUUAGAGAUUUUAUUAUAUACUCUUGUAAUUUCCAUUAAUCACAUGAAAAAAAAAA
RNAcentral lists this long non-coding RNA (20488 nucleotides) under Lathyrus oleraceus (garden pea). RNAcentral describes it as "Pisum sativum (pea) long non-coding RNA (PSAT_LNC033789)". Lineage: Eukaryota; Viridiplantae; Streptophyta; Magnoliopsida; Fabales; Fabaceae. The record is from RNAcentral.